GCUCACACCAACUAUUGUGCAGAUCUAGUUUACCGCCAGCCAAUUCACGAGUUGAUGCGGUCUUCUCGUCUGCUAUUCCAACCGGCAUUUCUUACUUACCACAAUAGUUAUUUAUGUGCGCUUCUCUUACCUGCCUUCUGCUCUCUUAGCCAUUCCCUCAUACACUUGGAAAGCAUUACAAACGAGGUAGAGAAAAUGAGUUUCAGAGAUGAUAACGAAGAUGCCAGGGGGGAUAUACGAAAACCGUUUCUACACACAGGAAGUUGGUACCGAAUGGGUUCUAGGCAAUCCAGCAUGAUGGGCUCCUCUCAGGUCAUUCGCGAUAGUUCCAUCUCUGUUGUGGCCUGUGUCAUGAUAGUCGCUUUGGGUCCUAUUCAAUUCGGUUUCACCAGCGGUUAUUCGUCUCCAACCCAAACUGCGAUCACUGAAGAUCUUGGACUUUCCGUCUCGGAGUUCUCUUUAUUUGGUUCGCUGUCCAAUGUGGGUGCUAUGGUUGGGGCUAUAGCCAGCGGUCAGAUUGCAGAGUACAUAGGAAGAAAAGGGUCUUUAAUGAUAGCUGCUAUUCCUAAUAUAAUUGGGUGGCUUGCUAUUUCUUUUGCCAGAGAUGCUUCUUUUCUCUACAUGGGAAGGCUAUUGGAAGGUUUUGGUGUAGGAAUUAUCUCAUACACGGUGCCCAUAUAUAUAGCAGAGAUAGCACCCCAAAACUUGAGAGGGGCUUUGGGUUCAGUAAAUCAGCUCUCUGUCACACUCGGAAUCAUGUUGGCUUAUCUGCUUGGACUUUUUGUUCAAUGGAGAAUACUUGCAGUUUUGGGUAAUACUUGGGAGAUUCUCUCUAAUGGGCUACAUCACUAGUUAAAACUCUCAUGUCUCACUUAUUUUUUUCUUGCCAAAUACUUUUUCUCUCGUGGAUGAUCACUGUUUUUUUCCUUGAACAAAAAUGGUCUGAGAUGAGCAGGUGUUCAACUUUAUGCAGCAAGUGAUAGAAAUUAGAGGUGCUUUAAGAAAUAGGAGUUUGAUUUUCUAAGUUUUAAACCUUUGGUCUUUGUGUAACUGUAUUUCCAUCAAUGGAUUUCCUGAAAUUUUUUCCAGUUCAAAAUUGAUAAGAUAUGAUGUGAGGUCAUUUUUUAUUCAGUGUAAGGCAGAUAGUUAACUUGGUGUGUAUUUUCUUUGAGCUCUUGAGCAAGAACUUAGACCAGAAAGAAGGUUACUUACAGCAUGUUAAACUUGUUACCCAUAUAUUUGUUCUGCCCAUGUUUUAGUGCAACGAUAUGCUUUUCUUCCUCAACGCCCAAUUGAAAUGCAUCGUCACACACAUAAAGUCACGUUUGUAGCAUGUAUUGUUAACCAAUGGGAUUCAACUCUGUUUUUGCAGAGGAUCUUAAAGUCUUGAAUCCUUUUUAGGCUCACAUUAUGUUAAGGAAGAAAAGGAAAUUUUACCAACAUGUGAUUUUAAUAUAAUUCAAUAAAUGGUUGUAAAUGAUGAUAUUUUCGGAUGCUAGAACUUGGCCCAAAUUCUUUUGUAGGAAUAUUACCAUGUACAGUCUUGAUACCUGGCCUGUUUUUCAUUCCGGAAUCUCCUCGGUGGCUGGUAAGCUUUUAUGAGAUAUGCUCCUCUCUCGACCUGAGAUUUAUUGUUAUAAUUUGUUGAUGCAACUCUCUCUCUUUCUCUCCCACUCUCUCAAAACCAAAAUUUAGGCAAAAAUGGGUAUGACAGAAGAUUUUGAAGCUUCUUUGCAAGUUCUUAGGGGGUUUGAUAUGGAUAUUUCACUUGAAGUGAAUGAAAUUAAGAGGGCUGUAGCUUCAACAAGCAGAAGAACUACAAUCCGGUUUGCAGAACUCAAGCGAAGAAGAUAUUGGCUCCCGCUAAUGAUUGGGAUUGGAUUGCUUGUCCUGCAACAACUUAGUGGAAUUAAUGGUGUUCUAUUCUACUCCAGCACCAUUUUUGAAACUGCUGGCAUUAACAAUAGUAAUGCUGCUACAUUUGGGCUUGGUGCCAUUCAGGUCAUUGCUACCGGUGUAACUACAUGGUUAGUUGAUAAGGCAGGCCGCAGGCUUCUACUUAUUGUUUCCUCUACUGGGAUGGCUCUCAGCCUCCUAUUGGUUGCAGUAUCAUUCUUUGUGCGGGUGAGUGCUGAGUACAGUUACACACAAUGAGUCUUCCAACAAACAUUUUGUUAGCAAUCAUAAUACAGUGAAAGAUUAGCAGCCUAAUUUUCCUUUUUCCUCUACUUUAUCAAUUGACCCAGGAUUUUGUAUCAGAUGAAACUAGUUUAUAUAACAUUUUGGGGAUCUUAUCAGUAGUUGGAGUUGUGGGGAUGGUAGUUGCCUUUUCUUUGGGCAUGGGACCCAUUCCUUGGAUUAUAAUGUCUGAGGUAUCACUAUGUUAUUACUAUUCAAUUUAUGUGCAAUAGCAAUUUCACAAUUUUCUGUGAUAUUGACUGUGUGAGCAUUAUUAAAAAUUAAAGCAAACUAAUGAAAUUCAAUUAUUUUGAUUUAGGGAAUUUUGAUUCGUAGUUCGGUUUGUUUACCUAAAAAUUGUAAUAGAAAUAACCAAUUAUUUUAUUUCAUUAAUAAUAUGUAAGUUAUAUGAGUUUGUUCAGUUAAGUAGUGUGAGUUUUGGAAAUUAUGGUUAAUAAAAAUUUCAGGUUGGUUGAUCAAAUGCACAGUCCCUAAUUAUUUGCUUCUUGUUGUCAGACUGGUAGGACUAGUGGCUAAAAUAACAACACUUUGAAUUGAAUCUAUGGCAGUUUUUCUAUUAAAAUCUUGAUAAAAUUCCCCUAGUUUGUAGUAGCCGUGUUUCCAAUGUUUACUUGAUCUUCAGUGCUAUGGAUAGGUUGAAGAUACGGAUAGGUUGAAGAUUACGCUUCUUCUUGAAUGCCAAGUUCUUUGCUAAGCUUCAACAUUCUGUUGAAGUUCAGUCACUGAUCCGCUGUUGGAUUAUAUAUAUAUAUAUAUAAAGUCUGGUCACUCAAACUCCAGAAAUUCAAGGACAGCACUUGACUGCAAUUUAUGUAUUAUGGCUUAUUUGACCCUGCUUUGGCGAGACCACAGCUGGUAUUUUUAUUGUGAUGUAUAGAACCUUCCAUAGACAACUAAUUUACAACAAGGCUGGGCUGUGCAUAUUUUAUGCUUGCUUCAAAAUGUAAACCAUAAUUCUAUAUCUAUGUAAAAGUGUUCACAUAACCUUGUAUAUCAAAUUACGUGUAAUUAUUUCAUCACCUUGCAAAUUGAAACAUGAAAUCAGGAUAAAUUUCAAUAAUUGUCCCUGAACUUAUAUAGUUAUA
This 3284-nucleotide unclassified non-coding RNA is filed under the name Hevea brasiliensis (rubber tree). Lineage: Eukaryota; Viridiplantae; Streptophyta; Magnoliopsida; Malpighiales; Euphorbiaceae. The record is from RNAcentral.